UACAGAGGGUGCGAGCGUUAAUCGGAAUUACUGGGCGUAAAGCGUGCGUAGACGGUUAUUUAAGUCGGGUGUGAAAGCCCCGGGCUCAACCUGGGAAUUGCAUUCGAUACUGGAUAGCUAGAGUUCGGCAGAGGGAAGCGGAAUUUCGGGUGUAGCGGUGAAAUGCGUAGAUAUCCGAAGGAACAUCAGUGGCGAAAGCGGCUUCCUGGACCAGAACUGACGAUCAGGCACGAAAGCGUGGGGAGCAAACAGG
RNAcentral lists this ribosomal RNA (253 nucleotides) under uncultured bacterium. Its description in RNAcentral is "partial 16S ribosomal RNA". It matches the Rfam family "Bacterial small subunit ribosomal RNA", at positions 524 to 776 of the family's 1533-position model. The record is from RNAcentral.